This is a non-coding RNA of Paramuricea clavata, 1771 nucleotides long. The record is from the annotation of a GenBank genome assembly. NCBI's taxonomy places the organism in Eukaryota, Metazoa, Cnidaria, Anthozoa, Malacalcyonacea, Plexauridae.
UGUCCUUAAGCAUUCCAUUGUGAUGACGUAACAUGCGUGACCCUCAGAACACACAACCUCGUUCCCAGGCUCUUUGCUCUUGGGAAGCAAAGACCCUGGUCGGAGCUGGUCACGUGACCCAUAGAAAAUUGAUAGCCCAAGAGGGGGAUGGAAAAGCAACCUCGUUCCCAGGCUCUUUGCUUCCCAAGAGCAAAGAGCCUGGGAACGAGGUUGCAGAACACAAUUUUCAACUCGAUUUAAUGAUAAUUUAUUUCCCGCAAAAAUUUUAAUGUUACAUACAUUUAAUAUGAUCAUACAUAUAAAUUUACAGUAAACAAGACGCUUGCUGAGCGUUUCAUACUCGAUCUAAAGAAGUGUUUUUGCUGGUGUUUUUAGAAGUGGAGAGUUUGUAUUUGUAAAUAAUCGUAUUCAGCGUAUUCACAAUUUCACAUCAAGAUUUACUUCAUACAUUUCACAUCUUAAAGUUUUAAUACGAGUUAAUUCAGCGAGCUACUUGUGCCAAACCGAAAAAUCGUGUGUCCACGUAUCUUGUGGCUUAAAAGAACGCGUUUGUUCCCAAGAAUUACCUCGACCGCGCUUCGCCGGAGGUUGAUGAACGAGACUGCUAUUGUUAGCCCUAUUGUACAGGGAGAAUAGUCGCCGAAAUUCAUCGUGACUAGAGGUUGUGGCUUGUUGACUUAGAGCAGGUUUAAUUCAAUUGGACGCACUGUAUUUCCCGUAUUGCUGUUCCUUGCACACCAUCCUUCACUUUCAGCAGAAUUGUGCGUUAAAAUGCUUGCUGCACGGCGUAAUAUUAAAAGUUGCUGCUUCUUGUGAUUUUGAACGGUUCUCAGCCAUUUUAUCCGUAUGCUGAACAGCCGAAGUGACAAUGUUGGAAUAAUUAGAGAUAAUUAAAAUUUAUGCGGGAAAUAAAUUAUCAUUAAAUCGAGUUGAAAAUUGUGUUCUAGCUGAGGGUCACGCAUAAUGUUACGUCAUCACAAUGGAAUGAUUAAGGACAAAAUGCGCAAACAGAAGUGCAAAUGCAAUUGCGAACAUCAAAAUUCAAUUCUUUAAUAUCAAAAUUCAAUUCAUUGAUAUCAAAAAGCACGGAACGAACAACAAAAUCUAGAACUUGGAAUGCAAAAUUCAAACAUUAAUUUUGGCGGUAAUCAGACUAAUCACCCUCCAUAUAUAUCGACAUAAAUUAUUUAAUUAAUAUGAAUAUUCUUAGUAUUUAAGCUUUAGUAUUUUUACACAAGUGAAAUUAACAAAUCCUAUCCAAGCUGAUUGGUUAAAUUUGACGUUGCAAAAUGGCGGCUAGUCGUUUCGUGGAAGUUACUGAUAAAGAAAUAAGCGAAAUUAAAAUAAAUUCAGUUCCAAAAAAACACAAAAGUCUGGUGUAAAAAUACUAAAACAAUUAUUCACCUUCGGCUAAUAAUUGUUAAUGCAUCUUAUCGGUUUCAUCUGAGUCACUGUUGAAGUUGUAGUUCAAAUUUUUACAGAAUAUAAAAUGUUGUUCAGAGAAAGCGUCAAAGCUGCUUCCGUGAAUUUUAAUGCCCUUUUUCUAUUUUCGCCUAUCAAAAUCGCGAAAAUAAAGUCUAGCGAAAUAUUGCCUCCAUCUAUUUGCCUCGAAAAAAUCGCGUAAUUAGAUACGCGCGAAAUUAAGUACGAAUAAGGUAGCUAGUAUACAUAACACCAACACAGGAAAAUUCACAUUACUAGAUUGCAUUGAUAUCGAAGGAACUAGGACUCAGUUCCGAAAUAUCACAUACUCGAACCGACCUCACCGCGU